CAGCCGCCGCGGUAAUACGUAGGUGGCAAGCGUUAUCCGGAUUUAUUGGGCGUAAAGCGAGCGCAGGCGGUUUUUUAAGUCUGAUGUGAAAGCCUUCGGCUCAACCGAAGAAGUGCAUCGGAAACUGGAAAACUUGAGUGCAGAAGAGGACAGUGGAACUCCAUGUGUAGCGGUGAAAUGCGUAGAUAUAUGGAAGAACACCAGUGGCGAAGGCGGCUGUCUGGUCUGUAACUGACGCUGAGGCUCGAAAGUAUGGGUAGCAAACAGGAUUAGAUACCCUGGUAGUCCAUACCGUAAACGAUGAAUGCUAAGUGUUGGAGGGUUUCCGCCCUUCAGUGCUGCAGCUAACGCAUUAAGCAUUCCGCCUGGGGAGUACGACCGCAAGGUUGAAACUCAAAGGAAUUGACGGGGGCCCGCACAAGCGGUGGAGCAUGUGGUUUAAUUCGAAGCUACGCGAAGAACCUUACCAGGUCUUGACAUACUAUGCAAAUCUAAGAGAUUAGACGUUCCCUUCGGGGACAUGGAUACAGGUGGUGCAUGGCC
RNAcentral lists this ribosomal RNA (543 nucleotides) under uncultured archaeon. RNAcentral's name for it is "bacterial SSU rRNA". It matches the Rfam family "Bacterial small subunit ribosomal RNA", at positions 509 to 1050 of the family's 1533-position model. The record is from RNAcentral.